Molecule: ribosomal RNA, 440 nt
Filed under: uncultured bacterium
Lineage: Bacteria
Description: partial 16S ribosomal RNA
Rfam family: Bacterial small subunit ribosomal RNA
Source: RNAcentral
CCUACGGGCGGCUGCAGUAGGGAAUAUUGCUCAAUGGGGGAAACCCUGAAGCAGCAACGCCGCGUGGAGGAUGAAGGUUUUCGGAUUGUAAACUCCUUUUGUUAGAGAAGAUAAUGACGGUAUCUAACGAAUAAGCACCGGCUAACUCCGUGCCAGCAGCCGCGGUAAUACGGAGGGUGCAAGCGUUACUCGGAAUCACUGGGCGGAAAGAGCGCGUAGGCGGGAUAGCAAGUCAGAUGUGAAAUCCUAUGGCUUAACCAUAGAACUGCAUUUGAAACUGGUAUUCUAGAGUAUGGGAGAGGUAGGUGGAAUGCGUGGUGUAGGGGUAAAAUCCGUAGAGAUCAAGAGGAAUACUCAUUGCGAAGGCGACCUGCUAGAACAUAACUGACGCUGAUGCGCGAAAGCGUGGGGAGCAAACAGGAUUAGAUACCCCAGUAGUC